AGGUGCUUCCAUGGCGCCCGUCCUGCUCUUCCUAGGUGUCGUUUUGGCGGCCGGGAUGGCCAAGAGAGUUGAACGUUCCGCCCCCACUGUUAUUACAUGUUUUACAAGAGGAUAUGAUCUUAGAAAGGAUCCAGCAGAUGUCAUCUGUCCAGCAAAUUGUCAUAUAUGGCAGUUCUAUGUCUAUGGAAACAUUGAGUAUGCCUCUGAAUCUAGUAUCUGUGGAGCUGCCAUUCACAGGUAAGAUUUAUUAUCAACCAUGCAAUAGAAAUUAUGAAUGAAUAGUAAGAAUGAUAGGAAAUUAAGGAUUAA
Thamnophis sirtalis is the source of this 309-nucleotide non-coding RNA. NCBI's taxonomy places the organism in Eukaryota, Metazoa, Chordata, Lepidosauria, Squamata, Natricidae. The record is from RefSeq and is a predicted model, not a curated record.